RNAcentral lists this ribosomal RNA (525 nucleotides) under uncultured bacterium. Its description in RNAcentral is "bacterial SSU rRNA". It matches the Rfam family "Bacterial small subunit ribosomal RNA", at positions 47 to 518 of the family's 1533-position model. The record is from RNAcentral.
CCUAAGACAUGCAAGUCGUACGAGAAGGCCCACUGAUAUUGAUCGAAGUUGGAGUGCUUGCACAAAGAUGGACUUUAGUGGAUGUGGAUUUCCUUCUAGUGGCAAACGGGUGAGUAACACGUGGGUUACCUACCUCUUAGACGGGGAUACCAAUUGGAAACGAUUGUUAAUACCGGAUAUGCUCUACGGAGUAAAGAUGCCCUUAAAGCAUCGCUAAGAGAUGGGCCUGCGGCGCAUUAGCUAGUUGGUGGGGUAAUGGCCCACCAAGGCGACGAUGCGUAGCCGAACUGAGAGGUUGAUCGGCCACAUUGGGACUGAGACACGGCCCAGACUCCUACGGGAGACAGCAGUUAGGAAUAUUCGUCAAUGGGGGGCAACCCUGAACGAGCAAUGCCGCGUGAGUGAUGAACCGGUCCUCUGGAUUGUAAAACUCUGUUGUUUAGGAAAAAUUGUAUCUAUAGGAAAUGAUAGGUAUUUGAUGGUACUAUUCAAGAAAGCCACGGCUAACUACGUGCCAGCAGCAGC